RNAcentral lists this ribosomal RNA (253 nucleotides) under uncultured bacterium. RNAcentral's name for it is "partial 16S ribosomal RNA". It matches the Rfam family "Bacterial small subunit ribosomal RNA", at positions 524 to 776 of the family's 1533-position model. The record is from RNAcentral.
UACGUAGGGUGCGAGCGUUGUCCGGAAUUAUUGGGCGUAAAGAGCUCGUAGGCGGCUUGUCGCGUCGGAUGUGAAAGCCCGGGGCUUAACUCCGGGUCUGCAUUCGAUACGGGCAGGCUAGAGUUCGGUAGGGGAGAUCGGAAUUCCUGGUGUAGCGGUGAAAUGCGCAGAUAUCAGGAGGAGUACCGAUGGCGAAGGCAGGUCUCUGGGCUGACACUGACGCUCAUGCACGAAAGCGUGGGGAGCAAACAGG